UUUUUUCCCCAAUUUUAUAUAUUGUCAGUUAGCUACAUCACAAUGUCAUUUACAUGUAUGUAUACAUUAUAAUAUACAUACUUAUAUAAAUUUAUUAGAGAAUAUCUACUAUUAAAAAACAAAUGUAGGUUUGUUUUUUUUUAAUAAAGUGGGGUCUUCAUCAACCAGGAAAACAGAUGGCAAUACUUGACUAGAAGUCUCAAAAGGAGAGGAGAAUCAUACGAAGAGAGAGCACAAAAUUCACACAUUUUUUGGAAAA
Oxyura jamaicensis (ruddy duck) is the source of this 259-nucleotide long non-coding RNA. RefSeq lists it as uncharacterized. NCBI's taxonomy places the organism in Eukaryota, Metazoa, Chordata, Aves, Anseriformes, Anatidae. The record is from RefSeq and is a predicted model, not a curated record. The transcript has 2 exons.